Non-coding RNA from Camelina sativa (false flax), 107 nucleotides. Lineage: Eukaryota; Viridiplantae; Streptophyta; Magnoliopsida; Brassicales; Brassicaceae. The record is from RefSeq and is a predicted model, not a curated record.
CUUGUGAUGAAGAGUGGUAAAUACACUCUUGGUUACAAGUCUGUUCUGAAAUCCCUCCGUGGCUCCAAAGGGAAACUGAUUCUAAUCUCCGCAAAUUGCCCACCUUU